RNAcentral lists this ribosomal RNA (274 nucleotides) under uncultured bacterium. RNAcentral's name for it is "partial 16S ribosomal RNA". It matches the Rfam family "Bacterial small subunit ribosomal RNA", at positions 523 to 796 of the family's 1533-position model. The record is from RNAcentral.
AUACAGAGGGUGCGAGCGUUAAUCGGAAUUACUGGGCGUAAAGCGUGCGUAGGCGGAUUAUUAAGCAAGAUGUGAAAGCCCAGGGCUCAACCUUGGAACUGCAUUUUGAACUGGUAGUCUAGAGUACUGUAGAGGGUGGUGGAAUUUCCAGUGUAGCGGUGAAAUGCGUAGAGAUUGGAAGGAACAUCAGUGGCGAAGGCGGCCACCUGGACAGAUACUGACGCUGAGGCACGAAAGCGUGGGGAGCGAACAGGAUUAGAAACCCUAGUAGUCC